RNAcentral lists this ribosomal RNA (433 nucleotides) under uncultured bacterium. Its description in RNAcentral is "partial 16S ribosomal RNA". It matches the Rfam family "Bacterial small subunit ribosomal RNA", at positions 29 to 507 of the family's 1533-position model. The record is from RNAcentral.
AACGAACGCUGGCGGCAUGCCUAACACAUGCAAGUCGAACGAGACCUUCGGGUCUAGUGGCGCACGGGUGCGUAACGCGUGGGAACCUGCCUUUAGGUUCGGAAUAACUCAGAGAAAUUUGAGCUAAUACCGGAUGAUGUCUUCGGACCAAAGAUUUAUCGCCUUUAGAUGGGCCCGCGUUGGAUUAGCUAGUUGGUGGGGUAAAGGGCUACCAAGGCGACGAUCCAUAGCUGGUCUGAGAGGAUGAUCAGCCACACUGGGACUGAGACACGGCCCAGACUCCUACGGGAGGCAGCAGUGGGGAAUAUUGGACAAUGGGCGAAAGCCUGAUCCAGCAAUGCCGCGUGAGUGAUGAAGGCCUUAGGGUUGUAAAGCUCUUUUACCCGAGAUGAUAAUGACAGUACCGGGAGAAUAAGCUCCGGCUAACUCCGUG